RNAcentral lists this ribosomal RNA (119 nucleotides) under Pteropus alecto (black flying fox). Lineage: Eukaryota; Metazoa; Chordata; Mammalia; Chiroptera; Pteropodidae. The record is from RNAcentral.
GUCUACAGCCAUGCCACCCUGAACAAGCCUGAUCCCGUUUGAUCUCGGAAGCUAAGCAGGGUCAGGCCUGGUUAGUACUUGGAUGGGAGAUCACCUAGGAAGACCAGAGGCAGUAGGUG